GACGAACGCUGGCGGCGUGCUUAACACAUGCAAGUCGAACGGAAAGGCCCUGCUUUUGUGGGGUGCUCGAGUGGCGAACGGGUGAGUAACACGUGAGUAACCUGCCCUUGACUUUGGGAUAACUUCAGGAAACUGGGGCUAAUACCGGAUAGGAGCUCCUGCUGCAUGGUGGGGGUUGGAAAGUUUCGGUGGUUGGGGAUGGACUCGCGGCUUAUCAGCUUGUUGGUGGGGUAGUGGCUUACCAAGGCUUUGACGGGUAGCCGGCCUGAGAGGGUGACCGGCCACAUUGGGACUGAGAUACGGCCCAGACUCCUACGGGAGGCAGCAGUGGGGAAUAUUGCACAAUGGGCGGAAGCCUGAUGCAGCAACGCCGGGUGCGGGAUGACGGCCUUCGGGUUGUAAACCGCUUUCGCCUGUGACGAAGCGUGAGUGACGGUAAUGGGUAAAGAAGCACCGGCUAACUACGUG
RNAcentral lists this ribosomal RNA (468 nucleotides) under uncultured bacterium. RNAcentral describes it as "partial 16S ribosomal RNA". It matches the Rfam family "Bacterial small subunit ribosomal RNA", at positions 28 to 507 of the family's 1533-position model. The record is from RNAcentral.